GGGCUGGCUCUAAUACAGUUGUGUGAAAAAAAUAUUCUCCCAAAAUGUCUUGGAGAUCAUCUAGAUGUUUUUUGGAAAAACUGACUUGACUUUUUAUGUUCUUUAUGCUCAGUAGUGGUUUUCGCCUUGGAACUCUGACAUGGAGGCCAUUUUCGCCCCUUGUCUAUCUUAUUGUAAAGUCAUGAACAUUGACCUUAACUGAGUCCAGUGAGUUCUGCAGGUCUUUGGGUGUUGUUCUGGGGGCUUUUGUGAUCUCUCGGAUGAGUUUUAGUUGUGCUUUUUGGGUCAUUUUGGUCGGCGGGCCUCUCCCACUAUUACUUUACAUUGUCAGGCAGGUUCUAUUUUAGUGAUUUCUUGUUGAGAAUUUGUCAAUAACAAAGACCUUCAUUUAAAAACUG
Molecule: long non-coding RNA, 398 nt
Organism: Melanotaenia boesemani (Boeseman's rainbowfish)
Lineage: Eukaryota; Metazoa; Chordata; Actinopteri; Atheriniformes; Melanotaeniidae
Exons: 2
Source: RefSeq, a predicted model, not a curated record